UUUCAUCAUUAUUAUAUGCUUUUUCAGA
Molecule: small RNA, 28 nt
Filed under: Bombyx mori (domestic silkworm)
Lineage: Eukaryota; Metazoa; Arthropoda; Insecta; Lepidoptera; Bombycidae
Description: ovarian small RNA-9793
Source: RNAcentral